UUAGAGCCAGACUGCCUGGGUUU
This 23-nucleotide microRNA is filed under the name Mus musculus (house mouse). RNAcentral's name for it is "mmu-miR-7689-3p". The record is from miRBase by way of RNAcentral. Lineage: Eukaryota; Metazoa; Chordata; Mammalia; Rodentia; Muridae.